Molecule: small nucleolar RNA, 58 nt
Filed under: Dipodomys ordii (Ord's kangaroo rat)
Lineage: Eukaryota; Metazoa; Chordata; Mammalia; Rodentia; Heteromyidae
Description: Small nucleolar RNA SNORD109A
Rfam family: Small nucleolar RNA SNORD109A
About the family: Humans have two copies of the SNORD109 gene, SNORD109A and SNORD109B.
Source: Rfam by way of RNAcentral
GGGUCCAUGAUGAGUACAGGACACUGAAGGACUCAAAGCAGGUGUCAAUCUAAGAGCC